RNAcentral lists this ribosomal RNA (523 nucleotides) under uncultured bacterium. RNAcentral describes it as "bacterial SSU rRNA". It matches the Rfam family "Bacterial small subunit ribosomal RNA", at positions 355 to 896 of the family's 1533-position model. The record is from RNAcentral.
UGGGGAAUAUUGCACAAUGGGGGAAACCCUGAUGCAGCGACGCCGCGUGAGUGAAGAAGGUCUUCGGAUCGUAAAACUCUGUCCUUGGUGAAGAAAGAAAUGACGGUAGCCAAGGAGGAAGCCCCGGCUAACUACGUGCCAGCAGCCGCGGUAAUACGUAGGGGGCGAGCGUUGUCCGGAUUUACUGGGCGUAAAGGGUGAGUAGGCGGUAAUAUGUGUCAGAUGUAAAAGGCUAAGGCUUAACCAUAGUUAGCAUUUGAAACUGUAUUACUUGAGUGCAGGAGAGGUAAGCGGAAUUCCUAGUGUAGCGGUGAAAUGCGUAGAUAUUAGGAGGAACACCAGUGGCGAAGGCGGCUUACUGGACUGUAACUGACGCUGAGUCACGAAAGCGUGGGUAGCAAACAGGAUUAGAUACCCUGGUAGUCCACGCUGUAAACGAUGAGUACUAGGUGUCGGCUGUCAAAGGUCGGUGCCGGCGUUAACACAUUAAGUACUCCGCCUGGGGAGUACGCUCGCAAGAGUG